AACGAACGCUGGCGGCAUGCCUAACACAUGCAAGUCGAACGAGACCUUCGGGUCUAGUGGCGCACGGGUGCGUAACGCGUGGGAACCUGCCCUUAGGUUCGGAAUAAUUCCCCGAAAGGGGUGCUAAUACCGGAUAAUUUCUUCGGACAAAAGAUUUAUCGUCCUUGGAUGGGCCCGCGUUGGUUUAGCUAGCUGGUAGGGUAAAAGCCUACCAAGGCGAGGAUCCAUAGCUGGUCAGAGAGGAUGAUCAGCCACACUGGGGCUGGGACACGGCCCAGACUCUUACGGGAGGCAGCAGUGGCGAAUAUAGGACUAUGGGGGAAGUCCUGAUGCAGCACUGCCGCGUAAGUGAUGAAGGCCGGAGGGUAGUAAAGCUCUUUUACCCGCGAUGAUAAUGACGGUACCGAGAGAAUAAGCACCGGCUAACUCCGUG
This 433-nucleotide ribosomal RNA is filed under the name uncultured bacterium. RNAcentral's name for it is "partial 16S ribosomal RNA". It matches the Rfam family "Bacterial small subunit ribosomal RNA", at positions 29 to 507 of the family's 1533-position model. The record is from RNAcentral.